AUGAAGAGGGAGAGAAAGGAGGAGGAUGAGAUGCAAAAGGAUGAUUCAGAAGAGAAAGCUAAUGAGGGAAAACCUUCUCGGUCUGUGAGUCUUGGCACAAAACUUGGGAUUGAUGCUGUUGAAGGGGCACAAAUGGAAAACAUCAAAGGAGGUGAAACCCAAGAGCUUCCAAGAUACAGUGGGAGGAUUUCCUUGAAGAACAGAGAUGACAUUCCUAUACUAGACAGAGCUAUGACUUUGUCCAGAGCCAAAAAUCUAGCUCUAUCUGAAGGGAGGACGCAAAGCUGGAGCUGCAACAGGGCGCAAAGCUGCUGGAGCGAGUCGCCAGUGACAUCUUCUAGGCGCGAAGGAGUUGGGCAUCCUGAAUUCCGAGGAUCGAAGAUUGAUUCAAAAUUAAUGGACUGUAGAGAGUUUUGA
RNAcentral lists this ribosomal RNA (417 nucleotides) under Triticum aestivum (bread wheat). RNAcentral's name for it is "partial small subunit ribosomal RNA". Lineage: Eukaryota; Viridiplantae; Streptophyta; Magnoliopsida; Poales; Poaceae. The record is from RNAcentral.